Molecule: ribosomal RNA, 777 nt
Filed under: uncultured Neocallimastigales
Lineage: Eukaryota; Fungi; Neocallimastigomycota; Neocallimastigomycetes; Neocallimastigales
Description: partial large subunit ribosomal RNA
Rfam family: Eukaryotic large subunit ribosomal RNA
Source: RNAcentral
CGUCUAUAUACGUAUAGCAUAUCAAUAAGCGGAGGAAAAGAAACUAACUAGGAUUCCCUCAGUAACGGCGAGUGAAGCGGGAAGAGCUCAAAUUUGAAAUCUUCAAGGUUUUACCUUGACGAAUUGUAGUUUAAAGAAGUGUUUUCUGUUGGAGUUUUGGUAAAAGUUCUUUGGAAUAGGACAUCAUAGGAGGGUGAGAAUCCCGUAUUUGACCAUUAUUUCCAGCUUUGUGAUACACUUUCAAAGAGUCGGAUUGUUUGGGAAUGCAGUCCAAAAUGGGUGGUAAAUUUCAUCUAAAGCUAAAUACUGGCGAGAGACCGAUAGCGAACAAGUACCGUGAGGGAAAGAUGAAAAGAACUUUGAAAAGAGAGUUAAACAGUACGUGAAAUUGUCAAAAGGGAAGCGUUUGACACCAGUGUUGUUUUCUCGAAAAUCAAUUAAAAAAGACCUGGAUUUUGUGUUGUAUUGACUUUAUCAGCUUUCUGCACUCUUUUCUUGUCUUUUUUAAUUGCACUUUUCGUUUAACAAGUCAACAUCAAUUUCUUUUGUUGUAAAAGGGUCAUUGGAAGGUGGCUUUCUUUUCGGAGAAAGUGUUUAUAGCCUUUGGCCUCUGCAAUCGGAGAGAUUGAGGUCUGCAGCGUAGAUCCUUCGGGGUUAGAUACAUUUGUGCUAAGUUAUAGCCUUUCAUAGACAACUUGUUGACUAUGAUCAGUCAUGUAGCUUACUCGCUUAUGCUAUUUUACCUACGCUUAGGAUGUUGAAGUCAUCGUAUCGCGC